Long non-coding RNA from Dromaius novaehollandiae (emu), 1864 nucleotides. RefSeq lists it as uncharacterized. The record is from RefSeq and is a predicted model, not a curated record. The transcript has 3 exons. Lineage: Eukaryota; Metazoa; Chordata; Aves; Casuariiformes; Dromaiidae.
GGCAUCUGAAAAGGGAAGCAGAAACUGAAUACCUGCAUGUGCAUUUUUACAGAGCUGGAGACCUGAAGCAUGCAGUCUUGGAUUGCUUGAAGCCAACAGAAAAAAAAAUCUGCUAACAGCUUUGAGACAAGGAAGACAGUCACCUUCCGGCGUGCAUCAGCUAGCAGAGACCGUGGGGAUCCGGACGCUGAGGGCUCUGCGUCACCGUCUGCGCAGCACAGCUUUGCUCUUAGCUCAGGAAGUGUGAAUUAGCACUCAAGUUUCAUAGAGUUUAAAGGGUUUGAAGCUGCAGCAAAGUCAGGAUUUCUAUAUGAAAUAUGUAGUAGAGCAGAUAGCUAAGCAGGAACAUCCACAGCUUUAAAAAGCUGCACCUCUAGAGGUGGAAAAUUAAAAGUGAAAUCCUCUUCAAAGUGAUAAAUGCACUGAAGCCUGUAUUAAACAACCUCUCAAGGGCCUGCCAGAAAAAAAAAAGAAAAAAAAAAAAAAAAAAAAGGGUCUCUUGAGGGAGGGAGGUCGAUCUGCUGCUGCAUGUUAUUAAAUGCUGCAGUUGCCUUCCCUGUUGCUUUAAGUUUAAAGUUUCAGUGAUGUCUUGAUCUGCUGAUCAGAGUUUGGAUGAUGUGUUAGCUGUGAACAACUGCAAAGGAACAUUUUUCAGACAGCGUUUCGAAUGGGCAGCUGUGCGGUCCAAAAAUAGAAAAACAGCAUUCUUUGGUUGUCUUAAGUCUUUCAAUAAAUCGACAUAGCUAUUGCCCAAAUGAUCCUUCUUUUAUUAGUGUUGCAAAUGAUUGGCAGUACAGUCAUAUCACCGUUUCUCACCAUCUGGGAUUUAGUGGCUUGUUUUUCUCACUUGUCCUGUGUGUACACAAUGCAAAGGUUAAAUUUUUCCUUAGUUGCUUUUCUGACUUUGUUCUUCCCGUGUGUAAGGGAAUUAUUUUUAUCAGCCCAGGCUUAUCAUUAUUGAAAAAGUGUGUUGCUGUUGAGCCAUAAACGGCCCUUCCCAUUUCAAGAUCUAAUUGUUCCAUAAUGAGUUUAUUAUAAGUCAUAGUACCACAGAAACAACCUCAAAUUAGGUUUUCUUUAACUGCUUUUGCAAAAGUUAAUUUCCUGCACAAUAGUUAUGUUUGUGAAAGAAAGGAAGCCCUUCUCCAGUGGAAGUUUGGAAGUCAUUGACCUUCUGGCCAUUGAAAAAAACCUCAUUGGGGUCUUUUGGGAGAGUGACUGUUUGUUUGUUUUUGUUACACUAAUCCACCAUAAUAAGAGGAAUUUAUAAUGCCUCAAAUGCUGUUAUAUUUUGUCAUAUAAGAAAAAAUAGUAUCAAUGACCUGUAAAAGAGCUUCUGUCUUAAGCUUUUUUGUUUUCUGAUUUCUGUGUUAUGCGUUGACUAGCCCCCAAGAUUUGGGCCAGAAUGCUGUAUAACGUUCAGUCUUUCCUGUGGCCUCCGGGAACUGGAGCUCCUUCUGCCCUGACAGAUUAUGGCUGCGUGUUUUUUAUUGCCUCUGGAGACUAAAUCUGUUAAUUGUUGCUUUCUAUGAGAACUGGUAGAGAAACCAGACAUUGGAAAUGGGACAUUUUGUGAAGCAAAGUCCAAACCCAAGUAGCAAAAGUAAUUCUAGGAUUUUUCUCCCUUUGUCAAUAAGGGUUUAGUGUUUGCAAAGGUGAACAGAUUAUCAGCAAUUUUUUACACGAUAUGUCCUCUAUUACUGUGUUGCAUAAUUUCACCCCAUUAUCCUAAAAUAGAUGGUUUCUUAGGAGCCAAAUUAAAAAAUUCUGGAUUUGCAAGACUGUUUAAAAAAAUAAAAGUAAAUCCUGAUUUAAAAAAAUUAGAUUAUGAAUUUCCCUUUUAAAAUUGCAAUAAUAAUAAAAA